AUUCCCAUUCGUGAGUUCAAGAGGAGAGGAGAGAGAGUGAAUUCAUCUUCUUCACCAAUCUUCAAGAUCCAUAGCCAAAUUUCCUUCUCAACUCUCAAUUUGUUCGGAUUUAAGGUGAAAUUUGGGGAAAAUCAUCCAAGAUCACUUCUAAGGAAUUGUUGACCACUUUGAGAGAAGUAAACAGAAUAAUUUUUUUUUGUUUUCUUUACCCCUCAUUUCUUGUUGGAGCUCAUAUUCACCUUGCUGUUGCCGUGGAUGGGUUUGGCUAGUUAUUUCAUGUUGUCUUUAUCAUAUAUUUUGAAGGUCAGUUUGAAUUUAUAUUCUGUCUCUUUUGGAUAUUCGCGUAUUGUUCUUUGUAAUAUAUGCAGUUAUAGAUUAUAUACAUUUUUUGUCAUGUGCAAGAUAUAUGUCAGAAAUAUUUGUAUAUGUAGAUUCCUAAUGUAAAGAUGUAUUUUAGUAUACAUUAAAUUAAUAAUAACGAUAUGGAAAAGGUUCUUCCUCUA
This is a long non-coding RNA of Ipomoea triloba (trilobed morning glory), 503 nucleotides long. RefSeq lists it as uncharacterized. The transcript has 3 exons. Lineage: Eukaryota; Viridiplantae; Streptophyta; Magnoliopsida; Solanales; Convolvulaceae. The record is from RefSeq and is a predicted model, not a curated record.